RNAcentral lists this ribosomal RNA (159 nucleotides) under uncultured bacterium. RNAcentral describes it as "partial 16S ribosomal RNA". It matches the Rfam family "Bacterial small subunit ribosomal RNA", at positions 355 to 511 of the family's 1533-position model. The record is from RNAcentral.
UGAGGAAUAUUGGUCAAUGGGCGAGAGCCUGAACCAGCCAAGUCGCGUGAGGGAAGACGGUCCUAUGGAUUGUAAACCUCUUUUGCCGGGGAGCAAAGAGCGGCACGUGUGCCGCGCCGAGAGUACCCGGAGAAAAAGCAUCGGCUAACUCCGUGCCAA